RNAcentral lists this long non-coding RNA (2828 nucleotides) under Pelobates cultripes (western spadefoot toad). Lineage: Eukaryota; Metazoa; Chordata; Amphibia; Anura; Pelobatidae. The record is from RNAcentral.
ACACAUAUCACCCCACACACACACACACACACACACAUCACCACACACACCACCCCACAUCACCACACACAAACACACAUCACCCCACACACACCACCCCUGCACCCCACAUCACCCCACAUACACACACACACACACACACACAAACACAUACACUGUAGCCCUCAAUGCAGUCUGUGUACACUCAGCAGUCUGUGUACACUCAGCAGUCUGUGUGUGUGUACUCAGCAGUCUGUGUGUGUGUGUGUACUCAGCAGUCUGUGUGUGUGUGUGUGUGUGUGUACUCAGCAGUCUGUGUGUGUAUUUAGCAGUCUGUGUGUGUGUGUGUGUAUUUAGCAUUCUGUGUGUACUCAGCAGUCUGUGUGUAUGUAUUUAGCAGUCUGUGUGUGUGUGUGUGUACUCAGCAGUCUGUUUGUGUACUCAGCAGUCUGUGUGUGUGUGCGUGAGUACUCAGCAGUCUGUGUGUGUGUGUAUUUAGCAGUCUGUGUGUACUCAGCAGUCUGUGUGUGUAUUCAGCAGUCUACUAAAUACAGACAGACUGCCAAGCACACACACAAACUGCUUAAUACACAGAGAUGUUAAUUAAUUCGGACAACUGUAGGAGUUGUUUUUUCUAAACUUAAACCUCAGUAUUCAGGUUUAAUUGCCGUUUUGGCACUUUGAGGGAAAAAAAUUGGCAUGUAUUACGGUUUGUGCACUCGGGCUCAAAAAGGUUCGCCAUCACUGGUCUAUGCCAUCUGUCAUAAUAAUAUUCUGCACUUAAAGCUCUUAUUACAUCAGAUAAUUGUCUUGUUAUAAUUUAGCAUGGGUCUGUAAAGCUGUGUAUGCUAAACAAUUGGAACAUUCUAUGCUGGCAUAGAGUCUUUAAAAAGGAAAACUGUGUCCACACUUAAAGGGCCACUAUAGUCACCUAAACAACCUUAGCUUAAUGAAGCAGUUUUAGUGUAUAGAUCAUGCCUCUCAGGUUUCACUGCUCAUUUCACUGCCAUUUAGGAGUUAAAUCACUUUGUUUCUGUUAAUGCAGCCCUUGACACACCUCCCCUGGCCCUGAUUGACACAGCCUGCGUGAAAAAACUGGUUUCACUUUCAAUCUGAUGUAAUUUACAUUAAACAAUUUUUAUCUCUUGCUCUGUAAAUUGAACUUUAAUCACAUACAGCAGACUCUUGCAGGGUCUAUCAAGCUAUUAAUAUAACAGGGGAUAAGAAAAUCUAAAACAGAACUUGCAAUAAAGGGAGGAUAAACAUUAGAUGUCUCUUUACAGGAAGUGUUUAAGAAGGCUGUACAAGUCACAUGCAGUGAGAUGUGACUAGGGUUCAUAAACAAAGUGAUUUAUCUCUUUGCCUAAAUGGCAGAUAAUUGAGCAUUGAGACUGCAGGGGCAUGAUCUAUACAACAAAACUGUUUCAUUAAGCUAAAGUUGUUUUGGUGACUAUAGUGUCCCUUUAAAGUAGUCUUUUCCUGAUCAAUCAACAAGACAGGGUUUACCAAUGAGUUGGCUCCUCCCCUCCCAGCAGAAGUGAUAAGUAACUAUGAAAUCCGUAUAAAUAGAGCUGCCACCUUGUUAUCGUGUAGUCUUUGUGACUAGCUCCACAAACCUUAUAGAAGGAAUGUAGGAACGUAAUGCUGCCGUGUGAUUGACCAGGAUAAGAAUAUUACUAGAAGUAAGGAAACCGUUUUCUUUAUUUCUGAAGAAAACAUGAUGGCUUCAACCAAUGGGUAAUACCGAAGAAGAAUAUAUAACAGGAGGAAUAGAAUUUGGAUACAGAUAAUAGCUAUCAGAAACCAUAACUAGCUGCAUCUACCUAAUAAACAUUUAAAUAAAAAUCAAUUGAGUAAUCAAUUAAAUCUCAACACUAUAUCUGCUCUGGCAAAUGAGUAUGCUCCAGAGGCCGCUGGUCAGUAAUACCAUAGGAUUCAAUCACAGAGAACACCUGGGAUCAAUGUAGUGCCAGGUAGAGAAUACGUUAAAGAUAACCAGGCAAAAAGAAACAAGUCUUUAAACCACAUGCCAUGGCUAAAACAAGUCAGGGUCCAAGAAAUAGUGAAAGACCCUUCUUGCAAAUUGUUGUUUCCUUGUGCUAUAGUAAAAGAAAAAUAUAAAAUAAAAAUAUAUUUAGGCAAUAAUAACCAUUCAGACAAGUAUUCUCUAAUACAGAGAAAAUACACCAUGGACAACAAUAUUAAAUUAGAUACUGGGGGUCUGCAAGAUUCAAUAUUCGGACAAUCCGUACUGCCACAAUGGUAAUUAUUGGACUACCUGAACUAAAGAAAAAAAUUGUACAAAAUUCUUCCACUGUGCAAAAAUUUAGAGACAAAAAAAAACAGUUAUAACUAUGAAAAUGUAGACCAAUAGGACUCCCCGCAGGUGCUGUAAGUGUCAUAAGUUAUGGAAAAACAUAUGAAUCAGAAUGAUUAGAUAUUGCUCAUCAAGAUAAGUAGGUUAUUUACAAUGGGAAGAACACUAACCAAAAGCUGGUAACCAUUGGCACCUAAUUAUAAACAGCAUUCCAAGAAUAUUAUUCACAAAAACAGCAUCAUGUAAAUAGCAGGAAUAAACACCACCUGAUACGGGUUUAGACCAAGUGACCAUGUAUGUAAAGGACAGGAAAUAAAGACUAUGUGAUAAGGAGCAGGGAGUCAUAACUGAAUAGUUCUGCUUCCUGUUACUGCUGUGUGGUUAAGAGCUAACCCAUUGGUUAAUGCUGCCAUGUUUUGAUCAGGAAAGCGGGAAUUUAGUUUUUGAUGUUUUAUAGUUAAUUCAUUCUAUAAAGUGGUACUGAGUUUUGAAAUUGAAAAAUGUUUAUAUAUAAAAUUGGAUUAUGUUUGCC